UAGGGAAUCUUCCACAAUGGACGCAAGUCUGAUGGAGCAACGCCGCGUGAGUGAAGAAGGUUUUCGGAUCGUAAAGCUCUGUUGUUGGUGAAGAAGGAUAGAGGCAGUAACUGGUCUUUAUUUGACGGUAAUCAACCAGAAAGUCACGGCUAACUACGUGCCA
This 163-nucleotide ribosomal RNA is filed under the name uncultured bacterium. RNAcentral describes it as "partial 16S rRNA". It matches the Rfam family "Bacterial small subunit ribosomal RNA", at positions 355 to 510 of the family's 1533-position model. The record is from RNAcentral.